Molecule: long non-coding RNA, 4087 nt
Organism: Brassica napus (rape)
Lineage: Eukaryota; Viridiplantae; Streptophyta; Magnoliopsida; Brassicales; Brassicaceae
Exons: 2
Source: RefSeq, a predicted model, not a curated record
AUUUAAAUAAAUUUGUAUGUUUAUUUACUUUUAUAUUAGAUAUAAUAUACUAAUUAAUAAAGUUAAGGCUUUAAUCAAAAUACAUCUAUGAAUUCAGAUAAUUGGAAGAAACUUUAGAAUAUAGAUCAUUUUGUUUGUCUUAAAGCUACAUAUUCAUAUUCUGAUAAAGAAGAAAAUCAUGUAAACUAAAAUCAAAUAUUAUAUUAUUCAUUAUAGCAAACUAUAAAAAUAAACUAAUACAUAACAGAAUAUGAAGCCACAUAUUCUAUAAAAAUAUUAUUUGAAAAAAAUCUUCAAGCAAUUACAGCUCGCUCCAUGUUUCUAAACACCCAAGGUGCUGGGCUAGUAGACUCGCUGGAAAAAAUAAUAUUAUAGAAAUUAUGUUAUAUAGAUAAACUUAUAUAAUUUUUAAAUUAAUAGAUAUUUUUAUUUUUGCAUUUAUUUCUUAUAGGGAAAACAUGUAGUAAAAAAUCAUUUACAUAUAAAGAAUCCAGAAAAUAUUUCCUUUUAUUAUUUAUAUUUUUCAAAAAAGAUAAUUUAAAUUGAAAAGAUAAUUUAAACUAUAUUAAUAGAAAAAAAAAUUUAAGUACUGACAAUUAUGUAUAAUUUUAAUUCAUAAAGGGUAUUCGUAUAAUUGACUUUUUGAGGAUAAAUAUAAGUGUGACACGUAUGAAACUGAUUUAUCAAAUAAUAUUAUAAAAAUAAUUUUGGAACAAAAUGUUUCAAAAUCAAUUUUUUUUUUCUUAAAUCGAGCUUAAAUUCACACAAAAUUAGAUGAUUACAAGGCAAAAUGGUUGACAAAAAGACACAUGCAUAACUACCUAUACAUACCCCAUGAAGCACAUUACUUUACUUACAAAUGCCUCAUUUUGGUUUAUAUUUUAAUUUGCAACAAAAACUAUUUUAUUUCACUAAAUAACGAGUCAAAUCCAAUCAUGUUGCUCGCCAUGGACUUAUUGUAUAUGCUAAAGUAAUGUGAAAUAGGUGCAAGGGUUAGUUACAAUUUUUUGAAGUAAAUCAAAAAGUACCCAAUUUUAUGUUGUUUUGGUAAAACCAAUUCAAAUCAUGUUUAGUUAGAUCAAGAAAAGAUACAACACAAAAGAAGGUUGUAACCGAAAAUAAAAUAAAAUAGCAGAAUUUUAGGUUCACUUGUCAGAGGCAAAAGAUACUAACCAAAUUCUACAUAGAUACCAAACUAAAGUAGAGUAAGAGAGUUUCUAAAAAAAAAAAAAAACUUACUGAAAAGACAAAACCCAAAUCGCUUGGUCACAUGAGAAAAACUCAAUGGUCAUAACAUUUGUAUUUAACACAUUGCACUUUAAUAUCAUAAACUUGAUUCGUGAAAAAAGUUUCUUCAAAAAUAAGGGGGUUGGGACAACAAAAAGAAAACUUUUUGCUUUGUGGAAACAUAGAAACUUCUUAAAUCCAUGAUUUGAAGAAAUUUUUGAUGUCAAACUAGAUGAUAUUCUAUGCAAAAGAGAGAGGAUAAAAAGAUUAUAAAUAUGAACCGAAUUCUAUAUGGAUCACCGGGUUUAUCGGUUCAGCAGCGAGUUCAAGUCAAAUAUUUCUUAACAUAAAUAUAUAGAUCAAAUUCAAAAAAUAAUAUUUAGUACCAACUAACAUUUUUAUCCAAAAAUCAAAUCCGUAAUUUCAAAGCGCGGAACAAAAUCUAGUUUUGAGAUUAUUUAGCGAGUUGUAGUUAGUUCUUUUCCGUAUUACAGUAUUGUACUAUGCACAUACUAUAUGUUUUUGAUUUAAUAUAUUUUCAUAUACUUGUAGAGAACAGCUUGAACAAUGUGCUUCAUUUUUUCAAUCAGAACUCCGACUAUGUAUUGCUGGUUUUUGUUUGAAAAUAUUUGUUGAGGUGUGACUUUGAUUAAGGUCAAGUUUAUGUCACUUAUGUGUGACUGCGGUUAAAAGAAAAAAAAAACAAAAAUCAACCACCGAAUUUGGAAUCCAUUUAGCAUCUGGUUUAAAGCGUAUGAAUAGGAUUCACGUUCACUUUUCUUCUUGCUUGCCAACAGAUGGUGAAGUGAUAAGUGGUAAGGUUUUGAUCUUUUUGUUAUUCAUGAAAAUUGCAUAUGCACACUUAUCUGAUUCCAGUUUGAUAUGAUUUUUUGGCAAGGCAUGAGAAGAGAUGUUAAUGUCUUCAUCUUUCUCAACAUCAGGAAAGCUCUUGAAGGUUUUAGAACUAGAACUCAAAUUACUUUAUAUCACAACACUACUGCUGUCAUUCUAACAAUUUAGUUUCUUGAUUUAUUUCUGUAGAUGGGAUUGCAUUCUACAUUUCAGACAACAAGGUGAUUUUAACUGAAGGCGUUGAUGGUGUAGUGCCUGUUGAUUACUUCCAAAAGAUUGAGUCUUGGCCUAGUUGGCAACCAAUUCCUUUCUGAUUUCUUGUUUAUACAAUACGUUCAUUGAAUUUUUUUAUUGGACGACAUUUGUGACUUAUCAGAUAUACAAUUGUUACCACCUUAGUAUUUAAUAACCUAUGUUGUUCAUGUGGUCUGGAAUUCUGGAAACAAACGUUUUCAGAAAAAAAUGCAUUUAAUCAUUCACAUUUUUUUUCUACUCUUUUAUAGUUUUUCAUCACCAAUACUCGAUCACUAGCGUCCUCCAAAAACUAGAAAUGAUAGGGGUUUUUAUAUGGAUCUUCAGAGUAGAGUAGACAAGGCAAAAUUCCCAAAAUGGUUUGGAGGUUUUUUAAUCUAACAGGAACAGUCAGACGCCUGCUCCAUUGUAAGAGCAAUCUUCGGAUUGCUCCACCUGAUUCCAUGUGAAAACAUUCCAAAAUGGCAUCUAUCUUCAUGCAUUCUCUUUUCAGUUUUUUUUACCUAUUCCAGAUCUGAAAGUAUCAAGAAAAUAUAAAGAAGACUUAUAAAAGCACUAAAAUACCAGCAGGAUACAUAUAUAUAUAAUGGUGUCAAAAACACCAUAUAUCAGUGGGUUGUGUCGAUUCUUCUUCGGUGGAACAAUCGAAUGACAUCAGCGACGAACGGCGGAGGGAAAUGAGAUUAGGUUUAGAGGUUAAGAAAGUGAAAAACUUUGUGUUCGAGUUCCGUAGCGGAGGAGGUAGCUUGUGGAGAAACUGCUUUAGUAAACAUAAACUAAUAUUAAAUUCUUUCAUCUGUUGAGAUUUAUUAAAACUAUUAGUAGAUUGUCCACUUUAAGUUUAAAAGGCAAAUUCCGCAUAUAUUUACUUUUGAUUUUCCUUCCAAAAAGCUUUAUACUAAUUAGAGUUCGACUUCUUUUUAUAUAUUAGACUUUCUUUUGUUUAACUUUUGAUGUGAGAUUUAAAUUGAAAUCUUUUAUUAGCGAUAAAAUUAUCUAUCUUAAGGAUGGAAAUACCAUAUGAGUUUCAGCAGCUGCGGGUAGAUGAUUAUUUUUAGGAAGUAGUGUCUAAUUACGAACAAGAUUUUAUCUCUUGGUUAGCCUUUUCUUGUCUAUUUUACCUAUUUUAAGUUUAAGAAUUGUCUCUAAUUACCUAAAUCAUUGAUGUGUAUUUCAAUUCUUGUGGUUAAACUUUAUUGUAGGAUGAAAAGUAAAAGACUAAACUAACCAUCGUGUCAUUAUAAAUAGAAAUUUAUCUUAGGCUCAGUUCCUCGUACAAUACACAUAAUAUACCUUCAAACUAAAAAAAAGAAAGGAGAAAAAGUAAAAAAGUAAAAUAUAGCAUGGCUAAGUUUGCUUCCAUCAUCACCUUCCUCUUCGUUGUUCUUAUUAUCUUUUCUGCUUUUGAAGCACCAACGAUUGUGGAAGGGCAGAGGUCAUGCAAGAGGCAGCCUAAUUCAGGGAGAAAAUAUUGUAUGAAGGAUAGUGAAUGCCGGAAGGUUUGCAUCGAAGCCGAGAAAGCAACACGUGCUACUUGUGAUUAUACAUUCCCAAGGCGCCGGUGUUUCUGCCACUUUCCAUGUCAAUAAACAGAGCCGUUCCAAGACAUUUUUAUGCCCUAUGCCAAAUAAAUAUUACUAGAUGACUUUCUGCGAUAUCGCGGGAUAAAGUCCAUUUCAAUAUUAUUAUAAUAAGUUUUCUAUAUCAUUGAAUAUAAAAAUUUCGAUUACUUAAAUUUUUGAUAAAAAUUAAUGAA